UCUAUUUCUUUUCCUUUUAUUUUCUUUCUUUUCCCUAUUUCUACCCGACGCCCUUCUCUUCUUCUUCUUCAUCGCGCCGCCGAGCUCUUCCCCCUUUCUCUGCUCAUCGUCGCCACCGGCCGGAGCUUCUCUUCUCCUUCUUCUCUUCCGCCUGAGCAACACCGAGCCUCUUCCUCAUCCUUGUUGAGCUCGCGACGCUGGUGCCCUAGCUUCUGAUCCGCCGCCGACCGAUCACCAUCCUUGUCGCAGCACCGGUUGCUUCUUCCACGCGACGCCAACCCUCGGGCUCACUCCAGACUUCACUGAGUACCGCCGGCAACAGCUUUUUCCUCUGCCCUAGCCGACGCCACCACCACCGUCCUUGUUCCCUAGCGCUGGUCGGCUAGCCUUCAAGUGCCAGCAGCCAACUUGUUAUCGGCCUGAGUCGCUGGCAUUAGGGUUUCCAGCAACAGCUUUGACGGGUCCUUGGUCAUUGCAGGCAGUUAAAGGAAGAGGGCGUUUCUUGAUUUCCGGCAGCUACUUCUUCCGGCAGCAACUAGCUUUGGCUGUGAGUUGAGGUUAAUGCCAUCAGGUUGGUCCCCUCGUCGCAAGAGCUUUCAUAUUGGUCUUUUGGUUUUCUAUUUGAUUGCUUAGAAACUAGGAACUAGACUUGUAUUGGUUUGCACUUUGGAUUUUGGAGUGUUUUGUCUUUAAGUAUUGUACUGGCUGGUUUUUGGUUGCUUGGUGGAUCUGUAUAUCGUGUGUUUGCUACGCGCCUGCCGAACGACAGAAGACGUAAGUUGGAUGUUUGAUUUCGUCUUCUUUUUGGUAUUGUGUUGACAGUCGAAGGCUGUUUUAUUAUAAUUGCGUGGUUUGUUAUGCUUUGUUUGAUAUAUAUGUACCAGUCGUGUUGGCUGGUGGUUGUGAGUCCUGAGGGCAAUGUAUAAAUAUUUCAGAUUGUCACCCGUAUAGGGGUGAUGUUGUCGAAAUUUCUUCUGACAGGGACUAUCUGGGCGUGACAAAGUUAACAAGGAAAUAAAUGUAACUUGGGUAUUGUGAAUUUUCGGUCCCA
Long non-coding RNA from Zingiber officinale, 1051 nucleotides. RefSeq lists it as uncharacterized. Lineage: Eukaryota; Viridiplantae; Streptophyta; Magnoliopsida; Zingiberales; Zingiberaceae. The record is from RefSeq and is a predicted model, not a curated record. The transcript has 2 exons.